The submitters of this non-coding RNA (78 nucleotides) gave its source as unclassified sequences. The record is from Rfam.
GGCUUCAACAUCCCCGCCGGUUGGGCGCGGCUUUUUCGGUCGGUUGCGAAGAGGACGCGUAGUGAAUCGGCUGUAGCU